CCCUUAGAUGUUCUGGGCCGCACGCGCGCUACACUGAUGCAUGCAACGAGUUCUAUCCUUGGCCGGAAGGCCUGGGUAAUCUGUGAACGUGCAUCGUGAUAGGGAUAGAUUAUUGCAAUUAUUAAUCUUGAACGAGGAAUUCCUAGUAAACGCAAGUCAUCAGCUUGCAUUGAUUACGUCCCUGCCCUUUGUACACACCGCCCGUCGCACCCACCGAUCGAAGGUAAUGAUGAGCCCUCAGGAUUGUGGCCUCGUCGCGUCAGCGUCUUGGCUGCGAGAAUCUGUGCAAAUCCCUACCUUUAGAGGAAGGUGAAGUCGUAACA
This 323-nucleotide ribosomal RNA is filed under the name uncultured eukaryote. Its description in RNAcentral is "partial 18S ribosomal RNA". It matches the Rfam family "Eukaryotic small subunit ribosomal RNA", at positions 1470 to 1796 of the family's 1831-position model. The record is from RNAcentral.